UACAGAGGGGGCAAGCGUUGUUCGGAAUUACUGGGCGUAAAGGGCGCGUAGGCGGCCUGCUAAGUCGAACGUGAAAUCCCCGGGCUCAACCCGGGAACUGCGUCCGAUACUGGCAGGCUUGAAUUCGGGAGAGGGAUGCGGAGUUCCAGGUGUAGCGGUGAAAUGCGUAGAUAUCUGGAGGAACACCGGUGGCGAAGGCGGCAUCCUGGACCGAAAUUGACGCUGAGGCGCGAAAGCCAGGGGGGCAAACGGG
This 253-nucleotide ribosomal RNA is filed under the name uncultured bacterium. RNAcentral describes it as "partial 16S ribosomal RNA". It matches the Rfam family "Bacterial small subunit ribosomal RNA", at positions 524 to 776 of the family's 1533-position model. The record is from RNAcentral.